AAGGAAUAUUGGUCAAUGCCCGGAAGGGUGAACCAGCCAUGCCGCGUGAAGGAUGAAGGCCCUCUGGGUUGUAAACUUCUUUUGGAUAGGACGAAAAAACAUCAUUUAUGAUGGACUGACGGUACUAUCAGAAUAAGCACCGGCUAACUCCGUGCCAGCAGCCGCGGUAAUACGGAGGGUGCAAGCGUUAUCCGGAAUCACUGGGUUUAAAGGGUGCGUAGGCGGCUAGAUAAGUCAGGGGUGAAAGCAUGCAGCUUAACUGUAUAAUUGCCUUUGAUACUGUUUAGCUUGAAUAAGGUUGAGGUUGGCGGAAUGUGACAUGUAGCGGUGAAAUGCAUAGAUAUGUCAUAGAACACCAAUUGCGAAGGCAGCUGACUGGGCCUUUAUUGACGCUGAGGCACGAAAGCGUGGGGAGCGAAC
Molecule: ribosomal RNA, 420 nt
Filed under: uncultured bacterium
Lineage: Bacteria
Description: bacterial SSU rRNA
Rfam family: Bacterial small subunit ribosomal RNA
Source: RNAcentral